This 1448-nucleotide ribosomal RNA is filed under the name uncultured marine bacterium. Its description in RNAcentral is "bacterial SSU rRNA". It matches the Rfam family "Bacterial small subunit ribosomal RNA". The record is from RNAcentral.
GAGUUUGAUCCUGGCUCAGAACGAACGCUGGCGGCAUGCCUCAUACAUGCAAGUCGAACGAGGUCUUCGGACCUAGUGGCGCACGGGUGAGUAACAUGUGGGAAUCUACCUGAAGGUUCGGAAUAACUAUGGGAAACUGUAGCUAAUACCGGAUGUGUCUGAAAAGAGAAAGAUUUAUCGCCUUCAGAUGAGCCCGCACUAGAUUAGCUAGUUGGUGAGGUAAUUGCUCCACCAAGGCUACGAUCUAUAGCUGAUUUGAGAGGAUGAUCAGCCACACUGGGACUGAGACACGGCCCAGACUCCUACGGGAGGCAGCAGUAGGGAAUAUUGGACAAUGGGGGAAACCCUGAUCCAGCAAUGCCGCGUGAGUGAAGAAGGCCUUCGGGUUGUAAAACUCUUUCAUCAAUGAUGAUAAUGACAUUAGUUGAAGAAGAAGCUCCGGCUAACUUCGUGCCAGCAGCCGCGGUAAUACGAAGGGGGCUAGCGUUGUUCGGAAUCACUGGGCGUAAAGCGUAUGUAGGCGGAUCAAAAAGUUAGAUGUGAAAUCCCUGGGCUCAACCCAGGAACUGCAUUUAAAACUAGUGAUCUAGAAUUUGGUAGGGGUUAGUAGAAUUUCCAGUGUAGAGGUGAAACUCGUAGAUAUUGGAAAGAAUACCAGUGGCGAAGGCGACUAACUGGGCCAUUUUUUGACGCUGAGAUACGAAAGCGUGGGUAGCAAACAGGAUUAGAUACCCUGGUAGUCCACGCAGUAAACGAUGAGUGCUAGUCGCUGGGACAUUAGUUUCAGUGUCGACGCUAACGCAUUAAGCACUCCGCCUGGGAAGUACGGUCGCAAGAUUAAAACUCAAAUAAAUUGACGGGGGCCCGCACAAGCGGUGGAGCAUGUGGUUUAAUUCGAAGCAACGCGAAGAACCUUACCAGACCUUGACAUGGUGUGUAUGAAUUACAGAAUCGUAAUUCUUCAGUUCGGCUGGCACACACACAGGUGCUGCAUGGCUGUCGUCAGCUCGUGUCGUGAGAUGUUGGGUUAAGUCCCGCAACGAGCGCAACCCUCAUUUUUAGUUGCCAUCAGGUUAUGCUGGGCACUCUAAAAAAACUGCCGGUGAUAAGCUGGAGGAAGGCGGGGAUGACGUCAAGUCCUCAUGGCCCUUACGGUCUGGGCUACACACGUGCUACAAUGGUGGUGACAGUGGGCAGCAAUACUGCAAAGUAAAGCUAAUCCCAAAAAACCAUCUCAGUUCGGAUUGGACUCUGCAACUCGAGUCCAUGAAGUUGGAAUCGCUAGUAAUCGUAGAUCAGCGUGCUACGGUGAAUACGUUCUCGGGCCUUGUACACACCGCCCGUCACGCCAUGGGAGUUGGUUUUACCUUAAGCCGGUGCGCUAACCGCAAGGAAGCAGCCGUCCACGGUAGGGUCAGCGACUGGGGCGAAGUCGUAACAAGGUAACC